UAGCAUAAUCAUUAGUUUUUUAAUUGAGAACUAGAAUGAAAGGUUAAAUAAAAAAUAAUCUUUAUUAAAGUUAAAUUUUUUGAAUUUGUUUUUUUAGUAAAAAAACUAAAAUUAAUAAAAAAGACGAUAAGACCCUAUAAAGCUUUAUAAUAUAAAAAUUUAAUUAUUUAUUAGAUUAUUUAAUUAAUUUUUUUUUUGUUAUUUAAUUGGGGUGAUUUAAAGAUUUAAAAAACUCUUUAUAAAAAUUAUUUCAUAAUUAAAUGUUUUUUGAUCCUUAAAAUUUUAAGAUUAAAAAAAUAAGUUACUUUAGGGAUAACAGCGUAAUUUUUUUGAAGAGUUCUAAUCGAUAAAAAAGAUUGCGACCUCGAUGUUGAAUUAAGAUAAAAAUUAGGUGUAGAAGUUUAAUUUUU
This 410-nucleotide ribosomal RNA is filed under the name Micropsectra notescens. Its description in RNAcentral is "partial 16S ribosomal RNA". Lineage: Eukaryota; Metazoa; Arthropoda; Insecta; Diptera; Chironomidae. The record is from RNAcentral.